RNAcentral lists this ribosomal RNA (505 nucleotides) under uncultured bacterium. Its description in RNAcentral is "partial 16S ribosomal RNA". It matches the Rfam family "Bacterial small subunit ribosomal RNA", at positions 28 to 507 of the family's 1533-position model. The record is from RNAcentral.
GACGAACGCUGGCGGCGUGCCUAAUACAUGCAAGUAGAACGCACAGUUUAUACCGUAGCUUGCUACACCAUAGACUGUGAGUUGCGAACGGGUGAGUAACGCGUAGGUAACCUGCCUGGUAGCGGGGGAUAACUAUUGGAAACGAUAGCUAAUACCGCAUAAUAUUGAUUAUUGCAUGAUAAUUAAUUGAAAGGUGCAAUUGCACCACUACCAGAUGGACCUGCGUUGUAUUAGCUAGUAGGUGAGGUAACGGCUCACCUAGGCGACGAUACAUAGCCGACCUGAGAGGGUGAUCGGCCACACUGGGACUGAGACACGGCCCAGACUCCUACGGGAGGCAGCAGUAGGGAAUCUUCGGCAAUGGACGAAAGUCUGACCGAGCAACGCCGCGUGAGUGAAGAAGGGUCUCGGAUCGUAAAGCUCUGUUGUAAGAGAAGAACGGGUGUGAGAGUGGAAAGUUCACACUGUGACGGUAUCUUACCAGAAAGGGACGGCUAACUACGUG